RNAcentral lists this transfer RNA (84 nucleotides) under Spirochaetales bacterium. RNAcentral describes it as "tRNA-Leu". It matches the Rfam family "tRNA". Rfam says of the family: Transfer RNA (tRNA) molecules are approximately 80 nucleotides in length. Their secondary structure includes four short double-helical elements and three loops (D, anti-codon, and T loops). Lineage: Bacteria; Pseudomonadati; Spirochaetota; Spirochaetia; Spirochaetales. The record is from RNAcentral.
GCCCAGAUGGCGGAAUUGGUAGACGCGCUUGGUUCAGGUCCAAGUUCUCGCAAGGGUGUGUGGGUUCGAGUCCCGUUCUGGGCA